AACGGGUGCGUAACGCGUGGGAACCUGCCCUUAGGUUCGGAAUAACAGUUAGAAAUGACUGCUAAUGCCGGAUAAUGUCUUCGGACCAAAGAUUUAUCGCCUUUGGAUGGGCCCGCGUAGGAUUAGGUAGUUGGUGAGGUAAAGGCUCACCAAGCCGACGAUCCUUAGCUGGUCUGAGAGGAUGAUCAGCCACACUGGGACUGAGACACGGCCCAGACUCCUACGGGAGGCAGCAGUAGGGAAUAUUGGACAAUGGGCGAAAGCCUGAUCCAGCAAUGCCGCGUGAGUGAUGAAGGCCUUAGGGUUGUAAAGCUCUUUUACCAGGGAUGAUAAUGACAGUACCUGGAGAAUAAGCUCCGGCUAACUCCGUGCCAGCAGCCGCGGUAAUACGGAGGGAGCUAGCGUUGUUCGGAAUUACUGGGCGUAAAGCGCGCGUAGGCGGCUUUUCAAGUCAGGGGUGAAAUCCCGGGGCUCAACCCCGGAACUGCCCUUGAAACUGGAUGGCUAGAAUACUGGAGAGGUGAGUGGAAUUCCGAGUGUAGAGGUGAAAUUCGUAGAUAUUCGGAAGAACACCAGUGGCGAAGGCGACUCACUGGACAG
RNAcentral lists this ribosomal RNA (600 nucleotides) under Alteriqipengyuania lutimaris. Its description in RNAcentral is "bacterial SSU rRNA". It matches the Rfam family "Bacterial small subunit ribosomal RNA", at positions 101 to 736 of the family's 1533-position model. Lineage: Bacteria; Pseudomonadati; Pseudomonadota; Alphaproteobacteria; Sphingomonadales; Erythrobacteraceae. The record is from RNAcentral.